GGUCUCCGUAGUUUAGUCGGUAGAACACCCAACUCUGGUGCGGUAGAAUAUGGGUUCGAGUCCCGCUGAAGUCA
This is a non-coding RNA of Henosepilachna vigintioctopunctata, 74 nucleotides long. The record is from the annotation of a GenBank genome assembly. Lineage: Eukaryota; Metazoa; Arthropoda; Insecta; Coleoptera; Coccinellidae.